GAUGAACGCUGGCGGCGUGCCUAAUACAUGCAAGUCGAGCGAAUGGAUUAAGAGCUUGCUCUUAUGAAGUUAGCGGCGGACGGGUGGGUAACACGUGGGUAACCUGCCCAUAAGACUGGGAUGACUCCGGGAAACCGGGGCUAAUACGGGAUAACAUUUUGAACCGCAUGGUUCGAAAUUGGAAGGCGGCUUCGGCUGUCACUUAUGGAUGGACCCGCGUCGCAUUAGCUAGUUGGUGAGGUAACGGCUCACCAAGGCAACGAUGCGUAGCCGACCGGAGAGGGGGAUCGGCCACACUGGGACUGAGACACGGCCCAGACUCCUACGGGAGGCAGCAGUAGGGAAUCUUCCGCAAUGGACGAAAGUCUGACGGAGCAACGCCGCGUGAGUGAUGAAGGCUUUCGGGUCGUAAAACUCUGUUGUUAGGGAAGAACAAGUGCUAGUUGAAUAAGCUGGCACCUUGACGGUACCUAACCAGAAAGCCACGGCUAACUACGUGCCAGCAGCCGCCGUAA
RNAcentral lists this ribosomal RNA (515 nucleotides) under uncultured bacterium. RNAcentral's name for it is "partial 16S ribosomal RNA". It matches the Rfam family "Bacterial small subunit ribosomal RNA", at positions 28 to 523 of the family's 1533-position model. The record is from RNAcentral.